AACGAACGCUGGCGGCGCGCCUAAUACAUGCAAGUCGAACGAGAAGCUGUAGCAAUACAGUUGUACAGUGGCGAACGGGUGAGGAAUACAUGGGUGACCUACCCUCGAGUGGGGAAUAACCAGCCGAAAGGUUGGCUAAUACCGCGUACGUUUCCCAGUCUGCGGGUUGGGAAGGAAAGCGAUGCCGUGGGUAUCGCGCUCAAGGUUGGGCUCAUGUCCUAUCAGCUGUUGGUGGGGUAACGGCUCACCAAGGCAACGACGGGUAGCUGGUCUGAGAGGACGAUCAGCACACUGGCACUGCGACACGGGCCAGACUCCUACGGGAGGCAGCAGUAAGGAAUAUUGCGCAAUGGGCGAAAGCCUGACGCAGCGACGCCGCGUGGGGGAUGAAGGUCUUC
RNAcentral lists this ribosomal RNA (398 nucleotides) under uncultured bacterium. Its description in RNAcentral is "bacterial SSU rRNA". It matches the Rfam family "Bacterial small subunit ribosomal RNA", at positions 29 to 419 of the family's 1533-position model. The record is from RNAcentral.